AACAAGCUCUUUAUGGUACAUAGAAAUAAUCCUGUCAUACAGUGACCAUUCAGAGAGGGAUAAAAACCUUAUAUAUGAAACUUUCACUAAUAACCUGAAACAUCACCACAGAGACAGUUGGGUUAUCCUGUUUGUUUGGACAUCCACUUAUUCACUUGAAAUGCAGGAAAUCUAUUUGAAAAAAACAAAACAAAACAUGAUCAGUUACUUGAUACAAUCAUGAGAUGUGAUCGAGAAAAACUUAUUAAGGAAUUAUUUUGUCAGAGUCAGUCUCUCUCAACAAGCACUUCUCUUUAUUGCUGCCAUGUGAAAAAGGACAUGAUUGUAAGUUUCCUGAGGUCUCCACAUCCAUGCAGAACUAUUUACAGGCCAGUUGUUGACAUUGUAGUAUCCUCUCUUUGAACACUGGAAUUGAGCAACUUCAAAGAGUCAUUGGACCAAGGUCUUCAUGCUUCAAAUAAACCUGCAUCAAAGAAACCUGGCUAGAAGACAAAGAUCAUGCUUUAUUCCCCCACAAAAGGAUUAUGUUUAGAUUUAAUGUUGAUGCCUCAGUUAAGUGCUCACUUUGAAAAUCAAUACAACAUUGUGUGCUUGGUUGGCUCAAUACCUCUCAGUCAAUAUUAAUAAAAAAACAGCAACAAAACAA
RNAcentral lists this long non-coding RNA (646 nucleotides) under Homo sapiens (human). Its description in RNAcentral is "long intergenic non-protein coding RNA 2745". Lineage: Eukaryota; Metazoa; Chordata; Mammalia; Primates; Hominidae. The record is from RNAcentral.